AGAGCGAACGCUGGCGGCAGGCCUAACACAUGCAAGUCGAGCGGCCGUAGCAAUACGGCAGCGGCAGACGGGAGAGUAACACGUGGGAACGCGCCCUUCGGUUCGGAAUAACUCAGGGAAACUUGGGCUAAUACCGAAUAAGCCCUUACGGGGAAAGAUUUAUCGCCGAAGGAUCGGCCCGCGUCUGAUUAGCUAGUUGGUGGGGUAACGGCCCACCAAGGCGACGAUCAGUAGCUGGUCUGAGAGGAUGAUCAGCCUCAUUGGGACUGAGACACGGCCCAAACUCCUACGGGAGGCAGCAGUGGGGAAUAUUGGACAAUGGGCGCAAGCCUGAUCCAGCCAUGCCGCGUGGGUGAUGAAGGCCCUAGGGUUGUAAAGCCCUUUCGGCGGGGAAGAUAAUGACGGUACCGCAGAAGAAGCCCGGCUAACUUCGUGCCAGCAGCCGC
RNAcentral lists this ribosomal RNA (446 nucleotides) under uncultured bacterium. RNAcentral's name for it is "SSU rRNA". It matches the Rfam family "Bacterial small subunit ribosomal RNA", at positions 26 to 518 of the family's 1533-position model. The record is from RNAcentral.